This 466-nucleotide ribosomal RNA is filed under the name uncultured bacterium. RNAcentral describes it as "partial 16S ribosomal RNA". It matches the Rfam family "Bacterial small subunit ribosomal RNA", at positions 28 to 507 of the family's 1533-position model. The record is from RNAcentral.
GAUGAACGCUGGCGGCGUGCUUAACACAUGCAAGUCGAACGAUGAAGCCCAGCUUGCUGGGUGGAUUAGUGGCGAACGGGUGAGUAACACGUGAGUAACCUGCCCUUGACUCUGGGAUAAGCCUGGGAAACUGGGUCUAAUACUGGAUAUGACUUCUCAUCGCAUGGUGGGGGGUGGAAAGAUUUAUUGGUCUUGGAUGGACUCGCGGCCUAUCAGCUUGUUGGUGAGGUAAUGGCUCACCAAGGCGACGACGGGUAGCCGGCCUGAGAGGGUGACCGGCCACACUGGGACUGAGACACGGCCCAGACUCCUACGGGAGGCAGCAGUGGGGAAUAUUGCACAAUGGGCGCAAGCCUGAUGCAGCGACGCCGCGUGAGGGAUGACGGCCUUCGGGUUGUAAACCUCUUUCAGUAGGGAAGAGGCGAGAGUGACGGUACCUGCAGAAGAAGCGCCGGCUAACUACGUG